RNAcentral lists this ribosomal RNA (452 nucleotides) under Mathildella rubra. RNAcentral describes it as "partial 12S small subunit ribosomal RNA". The record is from RNAcentral. Lineage: Eukaryota; Metazoa; Arthropoda; Malacostraca; Decapoda; Mathildellidae.
AAAGGUGAAAUUAGAUUAUUUUUAUUAAACUUUUUACUUAAAUUGAAGCUGUAAAAUUUUUAGAUUUAAACUAGGAUUAGAUACCCUAUUAUACUGAAAUUUAAUAAAAUAUAGCCAGAUUAUUAAUAGAUAUAUUCUUUAAAUUUAAAGAAUUUGGCGGUGGUUUAGUCUUGUCAGAGGAACCUGUUAUACAUUGAAUCGAUACUCCACGAAGAAUCUUGCUUGAGUUUAUAUACCAUCAUUAACAGAUAAUUUUAAGAGAAUAAAUUAUUAAAUUUUAGUAGAUUAAAUAAAAUUAGAUCAAGGUGUAGCUUAUAAACAAGCUAAAAUGGGUUACAAUAAAAUUUAUUUAUAACGAAAUAGUUACUAAGAAGGAGGAUUUGAUUGUAUGAAAGUUUAAUAUGCUUGAAAGAUAUAAGCUCUAAAUCAUGUACAUAUCGCCCGUCGCUUUC